CCUACGGGUGGCAGCAGUAGGGAAUUUUGCGCAAUGGGCGAAAGCCUGACGCAGCAACGCCGCGUGAUUGAUUAAGCCCUUCGGGGUGUAAAGAUCUGUCAGCAGGGACGAAACGUGACGGUACCCACCGAGGGAGCACCGACUAACUCCGUGCCAGCAGCAGCGGUAAGACGGAGGGUGCCAGCGUUGGCCGGAAUGAUGGGGCGGACAGAGUUCGUAGGUGGCAUAUUAAGUCUGGUGUUAAAUGCUGACGCUCAACUUCUGUUCGGCACUGGAUACUGGUAAGCUUGAAUGCGUUAGAGGUAAGUGGAAUUCCUGGUGUAGCGGUGAAAUGCGUAGAUAUCAGGAGGAACAUCGGUGGCGAAAGCGAUUUACUGGGACGUAAUUGACGCUGAGGAACGAAAGCCGGGGUAGCAAAUGGGAUUAGAUACCCUAGUAGUC
RNAcentral lists this ribosomal RNA (441 nucleotides) under uncultured bacterium. RNAcentral's name for it is "partial 16S ribosomal RNA". It matches the Rfam family "Bacterial small subunit ribosomal RNA", at positions 338 to 795 of the family's 1533-position model. The record is from RNAcentral.